AAAGGAUCUGAGUAUGAUAAAAGAACAGGCCUCGUAACCGAAUAAAGCAUACCUUUCUCGGCCUUUUGGCUAAGAUCAAGUGUAGUAUCUGUUCUUAUCAGUUUAAUAUCUGAUAUGUGGGCCAUUGGCUCACACGAUAUUAAAUUAAUUUUUUAAGGGGGAGAGUCCUACACAAUAGCUUGCUAUUGGGGCUCUCGAGUGUCGUCCUGGUGUUGCACUACUGCCCGGACCUGGCACACCCCACCAAUUCUA
This 252-nucleotide small nuclear RNA is filed under the name Olea europaea subsp. europaea. The stretch from base 49 to 244 matches the Rfam family "U2 spliceosomal RNA". Rfam says of the family: U2 is a small nuclear RNA (snRNA) component of the spliceosome (involved in pre-mRNA splicing). Complementary binding between U2 snRNA (in an area lying towards the 5' end but 3' to hairpin I) and the branchpoint sequence (BPS) of the intron results the bulging out of an unpaired adenosine, on the BPS, which initiates a nucleophilic attack at the intronic 5' splice site, thus starting the first of two transesterification reactions that mediate splicing. Lineage: Eukaryota; Viridiplantae; Streptophyta; Magnoliopsida; Lamiales; Oleaceae. The record is from RNAcentral.